AAACAAUCAUCAUCUUAUCACAAAUCCGACCACAACAUUCAACAACAAUAAUCAAACAACAACUCUUCAUAGUAAUUAAUACAAAAACCUAACAUGCAAUAUUAAUAAUCAAUGAUACUAAAUUAAAUAGGAUUAUCCCAAUACCUAAAUAUACAAAUCAUGAACAGAUAUUAGGAACAUGCAACCAAUACCUCUAAGCACACCUAAGAGAGGUUUUAAGAGGAUUUUCUAUGUUACCUUAAGAAGAGAUUUGAGACCCCAAAGUUUGAUUCUAAUUCCUUCUUCUACAAGUGAAACUUUAACUCCUCUUCGAAUUCACGUUUCCAUCUUCCUUCUCAACAUGCAAGAACUCUAAACUUUUUCUCCUAUAUUGAAACCCUAACUUUCCUUUUCUUCUUUCUCAUAAUUUCUCAUUUCACUCUAUCUCUUGGUCCUCUUUUACUCUAAUAUAGGUGUUAGAGUGUUUCUAUGAUGAGAUGGUGAAAUGAGGGAGCUUGAGAAGGACAUGCAAUGGAGUUACUGUGUUAUCUCUUGUUUCUUUUUUUCUCCUCUCUUCUUCUUUCCUCUUUUCCAUUCUUUCAUCUUUUCUCUUUUUUUUUUCUUCAUUUUUCCUGAGAUGUUACGGUUCUGCCAUCCUUCCCUCUUUCUUUCUUUCAUUCAUUAAUUUUUUUUUAAAAACAAUUGGAUUUUAAGUAAAGGGGAGUGUGAUGGGAAUUGUCAAUUACGCCCCUCCGAAUCCUUCCAAAUGACAAAUUUUGUUUUGACUAUAAAAUGUGCUACUAGAAGUUGAAUUUGAAAUUUCUAUUGAGUUUAUUUCUAAUUUAUUCCCCAACUAUAACAAACACAUUAAUAUAAACUUCCUAAACUAAACUUCACUUGAAUAACUAACAAUCAUUUUUUGAUUAAAUAAUAUUUAAGAGAUUUGUAUAAAUAUAUGAAUUAGGACAAUAAAAUAUAAAUAAUAGAAUUAUUAGUAUAAAUAAGAAUAAAUGGAAUAUACAAUUUUUGGGGUGUUACAUUCUACCCACCUUUUAAAAAUUUUGUCCUCAAAAUUGUCUAAAUUUUAAUAUUUAACCUCAUAAAAGUAGUAAACAAUUACAACAUCAAUCAACUAUUAUACUUAUUACAUUCUGAGAUAACCUUCUCACACUAUAUAAGAAGUAAAACAAUUAUUAAAUAUUAAUUAUAUCUAUUAAAAUAAAUCAGAACACUCUAUAAAUUUAAAAAAUAUCUUUGAUAUUUACAUUUUUAAUCAUUACUCAAGUAAGACAAAAUGACUAAUAUCAUAUAAUAAUAUAUUUUACCACAUCAUACUCACCUCAACUGCUGUCAGGGUGCACUCAAGGUCUUAGGCAGGAUGGAUUACUCACAUCAACUGCGGCCAGGAAGGCACUCCAUGACUUAGGCAGGCUAGAGGAGGACUAGUAAAUAUCUUUGGCAUUAUAGAGUUGUUCUCUUGGAUUUUUUUUUUCUUUUUCUGCAAUCUGGUUAAUCUCAAAUAAGACAUCAUAAAACAUACAUAUUAUUAUUUUACAUGACAAAACACUUUAAACAAUUAACAAAUUAUUUUAAUCUAACAAGUAACUAAGUUAAACUAUAUUACAUAAUCCUAAUUAAAUUAAUAUUGACAUUAACCAAUAAUAAAUAUACUAUACAAGAAAAAAAAAUCUCUUAAACAUCGAUUUUGUUUAAUCAACAAGCAAAACUUGUUUGUGUAUAUAUAAGUGUAUUGUGAAACCUAUGUAAUAUGUGCUUAUGUAUAUUAUGUACAACACAGUAGAUUGCACCCUAUAAGUUAAACAUGUUUAACAAAUCACAUAAACACAAAUGUAUUUGAAAGAAAAUAUCACGAGUUCACAUUUGUCAAUAAAAAAAUUCUAAGUGAGUUUUGAAGAAUGUUUACUUAAAAGUUGAUCUAUUACGAUUAUGCACUCUAAUCAUAUAACGUCUAGACAAUCUUAAAGAUGUAUUAGUCUAUUCAUCGAUACUUGGAGUUUCAUCUAAAUCUUAUAAAUAAAUUCUACAAGUACGGAUGAUGUUUUGUGACAGGUCGCUAAUUUUGCGACUAGGUCCACUCAAAUUCCUCCAUGUUACAAACUCUAACACUUAGUUUGGUGUCACUACUCGAUUACUAUCAAAGACAUAACUUGUUAGGGUAUCCUAAUUUUACAUAGCAACCUUUUAAACUAAAAUUAUUCAGACUAAACAUCUUUAGAAUUUGUUCACAAACAAGAUUACCCAUUAAUAUAAAGAAAACGUUUUUGUAGGAAUGACCUAUAUUGGUAGGCUUACAUCAAAAUUUUCUAAGUUCAUAUUUUGUGAAUUUUCAUAGAACGGGGAGCAAUAUGUGUUCUAAUUAAGUCCUUACUUCUAUGACUUCCUAUUUUCCUUACACACGCAACAACUCAGAAGGUUUAGGUGGUUGACAUGAGGAAAACGAUGAAUCCAUUCGAGGUUAUCUCAAUAGAAAUCACUAUAGAACGGAGUACCCAUAUGCAUGUUAGGAAUAAUGGCCUCUAUUAGUUCAAAAAAAUGAGAGUUAUUAAACAAAUUAUCAAAGAUCGGUAGCGGAAUAUAUUCAGGAGCAAGAUUCACACAGUUGCAAUUAUUAUCAAUAUAUGAGAACAGAAACAAUGCUUAAUUCAGAAUGUUAAUCAAUAUAGAAAUUCAUUAAUUCAAACAUUCAAGAAUACACAUUUAUGUAAUAUCAAAAUAAAGAGUAGGGAUAAGAAACAAGUGCACCAAGAUUUAUACUGGUUCAGCUAUCAGUUUGAUAGCCUACAUCCAGUCCUGAAAUCCAACAAGAUUUCAGCCUUUCCAAUAGAAUGAAUUGAGAACGUUUUACAGAUUGUCCAGCUUCCACAAAGCCUAUCUAUCUAACUCACUUACUUCUAUUUCUAUACCACCUAAUCCUUGGAGUUAAUCGCCUAACUCUCACAAGAUUCAAGUGAAACUUCUUCUUGAUGAUCUCACACCAACAAAGAUAGCUACCAGUUUCCUUACUAGAUUUCUAAACCUUCAAUUACAGAAAAUUGUCUUCCACAAAGAAUUAAAGAAAAUCAAGACUUUGACUCAAUCACAAUAGUAUCUCACACAAAUGUAUUUAGCCAAUGAAUAUUUGUGUGUUGUAAAAACUUUUCUCUCAGAGUGUUUAUCAAAGUUAUUCAAAAUUUGUCAAAAAGUUUUCCAAAAGUUAUCAAAAUGUUAUCUAAAAAAAGUGAUUGAAUCAGCUUAUAUAUAUUCAGAAAAACACCAGGAUAAUCGAUUGCUCAAUCGAUUUUAUAAUGUUUUAAAGUUAGCUAAAUCGAUUGCCCAAUCGACUUUCGCAUGUCUUGUUUUUCUUGAAUCUUGAACAUAUAAGCAUGAAUUGAUUUGCCAAUCGAUUCUUUUAAUUCAUAAAUUAGAACUGAUACUAUGAUUGUAUCAGAAUCGAUUGAGUAAUCGAUUAUAGGUGUUUUGUUCAAACAACGAGAUCAAAACAAUCGAUUGCUUAGUCGACUUCAUAAUCACAUUCAUAAUCGAUUUGGCAAUGAGCUGAAUCCUUUCUGUAACUUAAACAUUAGCUUCAAUCGAUUCGUCAAUCGAUUGUGCUGAUCACAGUGACUCAGACUUUUACGUCAAUCGAUUUUCCAAUCGAUUGUGCUGAUCAAAGUGACUCAGAUAUUUACGUCAAUCGAUUUGCCAAUCGAUUGUGCUUGUUACAGAACCUCGACUAUUUUGUCAAAAUCAAUGUGCCAAUCGAUUUAUUCAAAGUGGUUCUGAUAAAUGAUUAACUGCAAUCGAUUGCCUAAUCGAUUGCCACAAACUUGUAGUUUAAGAAAUCUAAUUCAAUUGAUGUCCCAAUCGAUUUGUUGGAUCACAGAACUUAUUCCUGAUUUAAAAACUUUGUCACAAUCGAUUUGUCAAUCGAUUGAUUCAAUAAAUGGUUGGUUCUGUGAUUUGCAAAGUCGAUUACUCAAUUGAUGUCCCAAUCGAUUGUCCAAUUGAUUGGAUUAAGCCCAGAACUCAGGUUUCACUAAAAACCUUUAACUAAUCGAUUGUCCAAUCGAUUCAUGUAGUGAAAACUCUUGUUCUGAGUCAGAAAAUCGAUUGCCCAAUUGAUUCAUCAAUUGAGUUAUUAGUUGAUUGAUUUAUAUUCAUUGGCAAAGACUUAAGUAUGAGACCGUAGUGAUUAGUUUACUAAACUAACUACUAUGACACCUAAUUACACUACACCAAUUUGCAUCUUUCUCAAGCAUAUCCUCCAACUUUGGUUGAUUCCUUGAGUUGCAAGCUUUUGUUCCAAGUGUAUGGUGUCUGCUUGUUUGCCUGAAAUGUUUCUCAAUUCAAAUCAUUAGAUCAAUCAAAUAUUUCAUAUGUACUGUAUGUUUGAGAAUUAAAUCAAAAACAUGAUCAGGGAAGCUCAUGACUUACAAACUCGAUUUGUUAUAUCAUACCUCCCUACUUUAUCAUUCUAUACACAAUUUUACUUUAAACAUAGUAUAUGUAAUAAAAAAAAAUUAGAAGAGAUUUACUUCUAUCAAAUCAAAUAUCAUGCUAUAUAACUUAUGCCUCAAUCAAAAGAUAAAAUUUCAAUAAAAUAUUGCAAAUAUAAUUUAUGACUUAAUGAAUAUUAUUGCGAUAAAUUUGAAGUUUUAAAAGUCAUGUAUUAACAAAAUAUUGGCUCCUUAAUAUUCAUAAGACUUAAAACAGAAACAUUUUUUAAAAACUAUGGUAACUCAAAAUUUCCACUAAUUUGGUGGGUAGAGUCAAACUUGAUUCUAUGAGAUAAUAUCAUUCCUUAUUCUCCGCACGACUCUAUGAGGUGGCAUAUCCCAUUAACUCGUACUAAGAAUAUGAAAAUGAUAUUAAACUAUAGAAACUACCGACUGACUUCCUAGACUGGAUCACUUAUAGACUAAUAAUUUACAGUCCGCUUUUGAAUCGACAUGCUCUGAUACGAAAAAUGUAACGCCUAAAUUUUUAACAUGAAUGAAACAAAAAUAUACACAAUGCAAAAGAAACUAAAUUUUUUAAUACAUAAAUAUCUAAAUACUUACAAAUUUAAAACAACUUUCAAGUGAGACUUAAUUAAACUAUGACUCUAAUCUAGAAUCAAGACGUAAUCCGAUUCUGACUCAUUUCAUUGAAGAACUGAUGAGCAAAUUCGGAUACUCCUCAGACUUUCAAUGUUUACCUGUUACCUAGAAAACAUCACCCUCAACAUAGUGAGCAUAAAACUCAGUAGCAUAGAUUUAAUAAAAACAAUUAUUGAUGUUUCCCAGCCAUGCCGGUGUGCUAAGCAUGGAAAGUUCUCUCGGUAAACUAUACUUCAAAUUAAUAUAAUACUAUUUAUUGGUAAGCUAUAUUCAAAUACUUCUUCUACCUCUAGCCUCAAAUCUUUCAAACACUUUAAGCCACUAGACAUGAGUAAUCUAAUGACUUAAAACCAAUAUAUCAAGUCAUAAAGACUACAUUGGUUUCACCCAAUGUCCUCUACUUGAAUAACCUCUUUUGGUAAGAUUGGACAUAAUUAAGUCCGUAAAUGGUGUCCCACUUACCCUCGCUUACCCCUCGCUUCCGUCGUAUAUAGACGGAGAGUUCAUCUAGCUAGAAUGAACCCUAUAUAUAUAAUAACAAUAAUAAUAAUAAUAGUAAUAAUAAUAAUAAUAAUAAUAAUAAUAAUAAUAAUAAUAAUAAAAAUAAUAAUAAUAAUAAAAAAAAAUUAACAAUAAUAAUAAUAUAGUAUAUAUCUAAUCAUAACAUAAGAGUAAUAUCCAUUCACACCAUGAAACAUGCGCUUAACAUAUCAAACUUCUAGAAAAUAGUGUUAUAUUUAAGCUUUCAAAUGCAAUUGGUUCCAUGCACAAACAAGAUUCCUAGCUUAAAAUAUAGAUAUUUAAGAUGACUAAUGCAGAGAAACUCAUAAUACAGAAUAAUUUACUUCAUAAAAUCAUGAAAAUUUGUAAAUUUAAUAUAAACUUAUAAAAAUUUACAAUAACAAUGUAAUAAGAAUAAGCUUUCCAGUCCAAUUGGUUUCACUCAAAACCGAUUCCUAUUGCUUCUGUUAUAGUCAUCUUAACUUACCUACGUCAUAAUCAUUUUCUAUAGAAACACUAUAACUUUGGUAAUUUAAUUAAAAUAUCAAACAAUGUCCGAUUUAAAUAAAGGAUAAUAUUUUGGAAUGCCUAAGAUGUCUAGUUUAUAAAUAUAAUUUUUAUUAUGUGUAAUAGACAUUCAAUUAGUACAGUUUAACAAAAUAAGGUAUACUUAUACAAAAAUAGGACAACAUAUUAUUUUUCAACUUGUAACUCAAUUUUCUCUAUUAAUACUCAAUGAAAACAAGUGAAAUCAAUGCCUAUUUCGUAGGUAAUUAAGUCUAUUUUCUAAUGAGAUCAAAAUCAGCUCAAAACACUAUAUAUGGAGAAAGUUAUGAGCAAAAUACCAAAGAUACACCUAUACAGGUUCAAAGGCAACAUCAUACUAUUUUCACUUCAAACUUUAUAUUUUCAAAGUUCACAUGAUCAACUAAGUAAAAUACAUUCAAUGUUCAGCAUAAAACCAAGUAAUUACCAAUACUAAACAAUCAUCAUCUCAUCACAAAUCCAACCACAACACUCAACAACAAUAAUCAAACAACAACUCUUCUUAGUAAUUAAUACAAACACCUAACAUGCAAUAUUAAUAAUCAAUGAUACUAAAUCAAAUAUGAUUAUCCCAAUACCUAAAUAUACAAAUCAUGAACAGAUAUUAGGAACAUGCAACCAAUACCUCUAAACACACCUAAUAGAGAUUUUAAGAGGAUUUUCUAUGUCACCUUAAGAAGAGAUUUGAGACCCCAAAGUUUGAUUCUAAUUCCUUCUUCUACAAGUGAAACUUUAACUCCUCUUCACAUUUCCAUCUUCCUUCUCAACAUGCAAGAACUCUAAACUUCUUCUCCUAUAUUGAAACCCUAACUUUUCUUUUCUUCUUUCUCAUAAUUUUUCAUUUCACUAUACCUCUUGGUCCUCUUUUACUCUAAUAUAAGUGUGAGGGUGUUUCUAUGAUGAGACGGUGAAAUGAGGGAGCUUGAGAAGGACAAGCAAUGGAGUUAGUGUGUUCUCUCUUAUUUCUUUUUUUUCUCCUCUCUUCUUCUUUCCUCUUUUUCCUUCUUUCAUCUUUUCUCUAUUUUUUUCUUCUUCAUUUUCGCUGAUAUGUUACAGUUUUGCCAUCCCUCCCUCUUUCUUUCUUUCAUUCAUUAAUUUAUUUUUUUUAAAACAAUUGGAUUUUAAGUAAAGGGGAGUGUGAUGAGAAUUGUCAAUUACGCCCCUCCGAAUCCUUAUAAAUGACAAAUUUUGUUUUGG
Molecule: long non-coding RNA, 7322 nt
Filed under: Cicer arietinum (chickpea)
Lineage: Eukaryota; Viridiplantae; Streptophyta; Magnoliopsida; Fabales; Fabaceae
Description: long non-coding RNA (CARI_LNC002138)
Source: RNAcentral